GAUGAACGCUGGCGGCGUGCUUAACACAUGCAAGUCGAACGAUGAAGCUGGAGCUUGCUCUGGUGGAUUAGUGGCGAACGGGUGAGUAACACGUGAGCAACCUGCCCCUGACUCUGGGAUAACAGCCGGAAACGGCUGCUAAUACCGGAUAUGCACCAUGAACGCAUGUUCUGUGGUGGGAAGAUUUUUCGGUUGGGGAUGGGCUCGCGGCCUAUCAGCUUGUUGGUGAGGUAAUGGCUCACCAAGGCGUCGACGGGUAGCCGGCCUGAGAGGGUGACCGGCCACACUGGGACUGAGACACGGCCCAGACUCCUACGGGAGGCAGCAGUGGGGAAUAUUGCACAAUGGGCGAAAGCCUGAUGCAGCAACGCCGCGUGAGGGAUGACGGCCUUCGGGUUGUAAACCUCUUUUAGCAGGGAAGAAGCGAGAGUGACGGUACCUGCAGAAAAAGCGCCGGCUAACUACGUG
This 468-nucleotide ribosomal RNA is filed under the name uncultured bacterium. Its description in RNAcentral is "partial 16S ribosomal RNA". It matches the Rfam family "Bacterial small subunit ribosomal RNA", at positions 28 to 507 of the family's 1533-position model. The record is from RNAcentral.